This 84-nucleotide transfer RNA is filed under the name Oscillospiraceae bacterium. RNAcentral describes it as "tRNA-Leu". It matches the Rfam family "tRNA". Rfam says of the family: Transfer RNA (tRNA) molecules are approximately 80 nucleotides in length. Their secondary structure includes four short double-helical elements and three loops (D, anti-codon, and T loops). Lineage: Bacteria; Bacillati; Bacillota; Clostridia; Eubacteriales; Oscillospiraceae. RNAcentral also lists the same sequence under 1 other name. The record is from RNAcentral.
GGGGAUGUGGCGGAAUUGGCAGACGCACCGGAUUUAGGUUCCGACGCCAAAAGCGUGUGGGUUCGACUCCCAUCAUCCCUACCA